AUACGUAGGGGGCGAGCGUUGUCCGGAAUGAUUGGGCGUAAAGGGCGCGUAGGCGGCCCGGUAAGUCUGGAGUGAAAGUCCUGUUUUUAAGAUGGGAAUUGCUUUGGAUACUGUCGGGCUUGAGUGCAGGAGAGGUAAGUGGAAUUCCCAGUGUAGCUGUGAAAUGCGUAGAGAUUGGGAGGAACACCAGUGGCGAAGGCGACUUACUGGACUGUAACUGACGCUGAGGCGCGAAAGUGUGGGGAGCAAACAGGAUUAGAUACCCUGGUAGUCCACACUGUAAACGAUGAAUGCUAGGUGUAGGGGGUAUCGACCCCUUCUGUGCCGCAGUCAACACAAUAAGCAUUCCGCCUGGGGAGUACGGCCGCAAGGUUGAAACUUAAAGGAAUUGACGGGG
RNAcentral lists this ribosomal RNA (397 nucleotides) under uncultured bacterium. Its description in RNAcentral is "partial 16S ribosomal RNA". It matches the Rfam family "Bacterial small subunit ribosomal RNA", at positions 523 to 918 of the family's 1533-position model. The record is from RNAcentral.